This 164-nucleotide ribosomal RNA is filed under the name uncultured bacterium. RNAcentral's name for it is "partial 16S rRNA". It matches the Rfam family "Bacterial small subunit ribosomal RNA", at positions 355 to 511 of the family's 1533-position model. The record is from RNAcentral.
UAGGGAAUCUUCCACAAUGGACGAAAGUCUGAUGGAGCGACGCCGCGUGAGUGAAGAAGGGUUUCGGCUCGUAAAACUCUGUUGUUAAAGAAGAACAUAUCUGAGAGUAACUGUUCAGGUAUUGACGGUAUUUAACCAGAAAGCCACGGCUAACUACGCGCCAG